AUAUAAAAUUAAUCUGUGAAGUCAUUUUGUCCUACUUCCUUGCUUUACAGAUAAAGAAACUAAAGUCCAAUGAAGCUAAAUGGCUUGCCCCAAAUCUUACAGUGUCAAAUGUGGAAUCUAAACUCAGGAUAACUCCGGGAAAAGGAGGAGGGAGACAGGGAAACAUUUGGAAAUGAAGAAACAUGCAGACUGUGAAGCUGAACCACAAACAACAAAUCUGUCCAACUCCUUGAAAAUUAGAAAGGAUUGAAAAGAAAUUAAUAACUCUGAGAAAACAAGAAUCAUCCAGAAAAAAGGCCAAAAUCAACACUCAGGGGAGCUUUGAUUGUUAGCUCCCCUUUUCAAGUAAGUACUAUUUAAUUUUACUUUUUAUUUUUUUAAUCAUCACUAAACUUUUAUUA
This 401-nucleotide long non-coding RNA is filed under the name Monodelphis domestica (gray short-tailed opossum). Its description in RNAcentral is "lncRNA (ENSMODG00000030143.2)". Lineage: Eukaryota; Metazoa; Chordata; Mammalia; Didelphimorphia; Didelphidae. The record is from RNAcentral.